AAAAAAGGUAAGCUACUAAGAGCGAAUGGUGGAUGCCUUGACUGGUAAAGGCGAUGAAGGACGUACUAGACUGCGAUAAGCUACGGGGAGCUGUCAAGAAGCUUUGAUCCGUAGAUUUCCGAAUGGGGCAACCCAGUAUAUAGAGAUAUAUACUACCAUAAUGGAGCGAACGAGGGGAAUUGAAACAUCUUAGUACCCUCAGGAAAAGAAAUCAAUAGAGAUUAUGUCAGUAGCGGCGAGCGAAAGCGUAAGAGGGCAAACCCAGUGCUUGCACUGGGGGUUGUAGGACUGCAAUGUGCAAUAAGUAAGGUUAGUAGAACACUCUGGAAAGUGUAGCCAUAGAGGGUGAUAGUCCCGUAUACGAAAACCAAACUUUAGCUAGCAGUAUCCUGAGUAGGGCGAAACACGUGGAAUUUUGUCUGAAGCUGGGUCGACCACGAUCCAACCCUAAAUACUAAUACCAGAUCGAUAGUGCACAAGUACCGUGAGGGAAAGGUGAAAAGAACUGAGGUGAUCAGAGUGAAAUAGAACCUGAAACCAUUUGCUUACAAUCAUUCAGAGCACUAUGUAGCAAUACAGUGUGAUGGACUGCCUUUUGCAUAAUGAGCCUGCGAGUUGUGGUGUCUGGCAAGGUUAAGCACACGCGAAGCCGUAGCGAAAGCGAGUCUGAAUAGGGCGCUUAAGUCAGAUGCUGCAGACCCGAAACGAAGUGAUCUAUCCAUGAGCAAGUUGAAGCUAGUGUAAGAACUAGUGGAGGACUGAACCCAUAGGCGUUGAAAAGCCCCGGGAUGACUUGUGGAUAGGGGUGAAAGGCCAAUCAAACUUCGUGAUAGCUGGUUCUCUCCGAAAUAUAUUUAGGUAUAGCGUUGUGUCGUAGUAUAAGGGGGUAGAGCACUGAAUGGGCUAGGGCAUACACCAAUGUACCAAACCCUAUCAAACUCCGAAUACCUUAUAUGUAAUCACAGCAGUCAGGCGGCGAGUGAUAAAAUCCGUCGUCAAGAGGGAAACAACCCAGACUAUCAGCUAAGGUCCCCAAGUCUUACUUAAGUGGAAAACGAUGUGAAGUUACUUAAACAACCAGGAGGUUGGCUUAGAAGCAGCCAUCCUUUAAAGAAAGCGUAAUAGCUCACUGGUCUAGUGAUUUUGCGCGGAAAAUAUAACGGGGCUAAAGUAAGCACCGAAGCUAUAGACUUAGUUUUACUAAGUGGUAGGAGAGCGUUCUAUUUGCGUCGAAGGUAUACCGGUAAGGAGUGCUGGAGCGAAUAGAAGUGAGCAUGCAGGCAUGAGUAGCGAUAAUUAAUGUGAGAAUCAUUAACGCCGUAAACCCAAGGUUUCCUACGCGAUGCUCGUCAUCGUAGGGUUAGUCGGGUCCUAAGUCGAGUCCGAAAGGGGUAGACGAUGGCAAAUUGGUUAAUAUUCCAAUACCAACAUUAGUGUGCGAUGGAAGGACGCUUAGGGCUAAGCAAGCUAGCGGAUGGAAGUGCUAGUCUAAGGAUGUAGGAGCUUAUACAGGCAAAUCCGUAUAAGAAUACUCCGAGAUCUUAAAGGCUCUUUGAAGUCUUCGGAUGGAUAGGAGAAUUGCUG
This 1584-nucleotide ribosomal RNA is filed under the name Campylobacter lari. RNAcentral's name for it is "partial 23S ribosomal RNA". It matches the Rfam family "Bacterial large subunit ribosomal RNA", at positions 1 to 1602 of the family's 2925-position model. The record is from RNAcentral. Lineage: Bacteria; Pseudomonadati; Campylobacterota; Epsilonproteobacteria; Campylobacterales; Campylobacteraceae.